AGGUUUAGGCAGGUAUGCUACUUAAAUUAUACUGAUUUCUGACUUUCUAGAUAAUUAUAAGUGAAGGAUUGGAGUCCAUUGUAGGUCAUUAAAACAUUCAUGCUCUUUGUAGAUCAAAUCUAACAUUUCUAUCACUUUAUCAGUUGUAUCUAAUAUUCCUCGCACCUAAAUUCUAUGUUCAAAAUGUUCAAAGUUCUAAAGAUUGAAAGAAAGUAUCUUUUAAGACAUUUACUUAAAACACUUCUCUACAUUUAUCAUCCUAUGUUACAUAUACAGUUCUAAUGAGACAUUGUUUGCUUCAAUUCAAUUAUCUUUUCCUGCCAAAUUUUAACCAGUGCUAUUAACUUAUUCAUACCAUCUAGCCAUGUGUAACAGAAAAAGGAAAUGAAUGCCUGUUAACUGCAUUCUCUGCCAGGUGCUGAAUGGUAACACUGUUGA
Molecule: long non-coding RNA, 438 nt
Filed under: Bos taurus (domestic cattle)
Lineage: Eukaryota; Metazoa; Chordata; Mammalia; Artiodactyla; Bovidae
Description: long non-coding RNA NONBTAT002737
Source: RNAcentral